Long non-coding RNA from Electrophorus electricus (electric eel), 593 nucleotides. RefSeq lists it as uncharacterized. NCBI's taxonomy places the organism in Eukaryota, Metazoa, Chordata, Actinopteri, Gymnotiformes, Gymnotidae. The record is from RefSeq and is a predicted model, not a curated record.
AUGACAAAGUUGAACACACAUUCUGGUAUUAUGUUCAUCCUAAAGAGGAUCCACAGGACCUGAGUCUGGAAGAGCAGUUUACUGGUCGAGUGGAAUAUGUUGGGGAUAAAGAGAAAAACUGCACUCUGAGAAUCAGAGGCCUGAGAAAGAGUGAUUCUGGAGAAUAUCGCUUUAGAUUCAGCACUAAUACUGAAAGAGGGAAAUUCUCUGGUAAACCAGGAGUCAUUCUAAAUAUCACAGAUCUGCAGGUGAGAGUGAGUCUCACCCCAGUAUCAGAGGGACAGACUCUAACACUAGGCUGCAGCUCCACCUGCACUCUGCCCUACAACCCCACCUACAUCUGGUACAAGAACGGACAGCCUGUAACCAACAAACCCACCAAACACAACAAGCUGUAUCUGGAACCAGCAGACAGUGAGGAUGGAUUCCAGUAUUCCUGUGUUUUAGGAGAGGAGAGUACAGCGUUAAAGCAAGUCACAAUUGGAGUGGCAGUCUGUCUGGCUCUAAUACUCAUCACAGGAGCUCUGUGGAUAUGCAGGAGGAGAAAGUCCAGGUCAGUUGAAGAGCACAGGAACUCUGGGGAUGAUGGCCAG